Molecule: small RNA, 132 nt
Filed under: Lelliottia sp. 7254-16
Lineage: Bacteria; Pseudomonadati; Pseudomonadota; Gammaproteobacteria; Enterobacterales; Enterobacteriaceae
Description: RtT sRNA
Rfam family: RtT RNA
About the family: This family represents a bacterial cis-regulatory element known as RtT RNA. The exact function of RtT is unknown although it is thought that it may be involved in changing the cellular response in relation to amino acid starvation.
Source: RNAcentral
GCUUCAUGAAGUUCAUGAGGAUGAGAAUCUCCGGGGAAGGAGGUUCGACCCGAGCGAAGCGAGGGAACGUUGCUUUAGCAACGGCCCGCAGGGUGAGUCACGAAGUGGCGAGUCAUCCUCUCUCGCCGACCA